Molecule: ribosomal RNA, 497 nt
Filed under: uncultured bacterium
Lineage: Bacteria
Description: partial 16S ribosomal RNA
Rfam family: Bacterial small subunit ribosomal RNA
Source: RNAcentral
GAUGAACGCUGGCGGCGUGCCUAAUACAUGCAAGUCGAGCGAACGGACGCGAAGCUUGCUUCUCUGAUGUUAGCGGCGGACGGGUGAGUAACACGUGGAUAACCUACCUAUAAGACUGGGAUAACUUCGGGAAACCGGAGCUAAUACCGGAUAAUAUUUUGAACCGCAUUGUUCAAAAGUGAAAGACGGUCUUGCUGUCACUUAUAGAUGGAUCCGCGCUGCAUUAGCUAGUUGGUAAGGUAACGGCUUACCAAGGCAACGAUGCAUAGCCGACCUGAGAGGGUGAUCGGCCACACUGGAACUGAGACACGGUCCAGACUCCUACGGGAGGCAGCAGUAGGGAAGCUUCCGCAAUGGGCGAAAGCCUGACGGAGCAACGCCGCGUGAGUGAUGAAGGUCUUCGGAUCGUAAAACUCUGUUAUUAGGGAAGAACAUAUGUGUAAGUAACUGUGCACAUCUUGACGGUACCUAAUCAGAAAGCCACGGCUAACUACGUG